UGCGAUAAGCGCCGGUAAGGUGAUAUGAACCGUUAUAACCGGCGAUUUCCGAAUGGGGAAACCCAGUGUGAUUCGUCACACUAUCAUUAACUGAAUCCAUAGGUUAAUGAGGCGAACCGGGGGAACUGAAACAUCUAAGUACCCCGAGGAAAAGAAAUCAACCGAGAUUCCCCCAGUAGCGGCGAGCGAACGGGGAGGAGCCCAGAGCCUGAAUCAGCAUGUGUGUUAGUGGAAGCGUCUGGAAAGGCGCGCGAUACAGGGUGACAGCCCCGUACACAAAAGCGCAUGUGCUGUGAGCUCGAUGAGUAGGGCGGGACACGUGGUAUCCUGUCUGAAUAUGGGGGGACCAUCCUCCAAGGCUAAAUACUCCUGACUGACCGAUAGUGAACCAGUACCGUGAGGGAAAGGCGAAAAGAACCCCGGCGAGGGGAGUGAAAAAGAACCUGAAACCGUGUACGUACAAGCAGUGGGAGCACCC
RNAcentral lists this ribosomal RNA (478 nucleotides) under Salmonella enterica subsp. enterica serovar Hadar. RNAcentral's name for it is "partial 23S ribosomal RNA". It matches the Rfam family "Bacterial large subunit ribosomal RNA", at positions 67 to 584 of the family's 2925-position model. Lineage: Bacteria; Pseudomonadati; Pseudomonadota; Gammaproteobacteria; Enterobacterales; Enterobacteriaceae. The record is from RNAcentral.